This is a non-coding RNA of Pogona vitticeps (central bearded dragon), 1350 nucleotides long. The record is from RefSeq and is a predicted model, not a curated record. Lineage: Eukaryota; Metazoa; Chordata; Lepidosauria; Squamata; Agamidae.
GCAACAGCCUAACAUAGCUAUCUCUUGGAAACCUUUGCUCUAACAUUAUAUUGAUUUCAAUGUUCUACUUCUUUUAGCAAAUGCUCAACUUAACCAAUGUCCUAAUUGUUUUUACGUGUUGUUUUCAAUCCUUGAACAAGGGCUGAUGGAAGUUGCAGCCCAAGAACAUCUGGAAGGCCAUAUAUCACCUCUAAGAGAGAUGCUUUGUACAAACCCUCUUCCAGUGUUAUGCUUCUUAGUCAGGAAAACCACCUGCUUUACCCUGAGACAUUGACAAAUAAAGAAGAACAAGGACAGCUGUGCAGUGUGAAACCCCAGAAACCUUUCACAUAUGCCAAGACUGAUCAAACACGUUUGUACUGAACAGUGAGCACUGGAACCAGCUGGGAACAGAUGGAGAAGAGAGCCCGACUUAAAGACACUUUGGACACAAAAAUCAAAAUUUUUUGUCCUCCAGCUCCAUUAACUCUCAGAUUAGCCUUUCCGCCUACAGUAUAAGAAGCAUCCUGAAACUCUAGCCAUGAGGCCUAGCUACCCUAGUAUGUGCAAAUGAUGAAACAGUUGGAUACAUGGAUUGUGCUGAUGUGUAAAUGGUGCAAGGCUCAGAUUUUAUUUCAGCAGUGACUGUAAGGACUACAGCUAAGGGGAGAAGAAACAAGACAGUAGCAGUGGCAAAUGCCAUCGUCAACUAUGCUAAUCGGAAAAUUUGAAUGAUUUUGCUCUGCAAGGUUUGGUUCCAUUACCUUUCUGCUUAUGGGGUACAAAUUGACAAAUUUUGCUUGAGACUCCAUGACCUGUCUGUGGAUCAAUUCUCAAUUCUUUGAUGCCCUUUGGGCACCCACUGCCCUGACAAUCUUGAUGAGAUUCACUCAGCUGAAUGAAGUCAUAGACAGCGGCUGUUUCCUCAAGUCUGUUGGCUUUAAAAAAAUAAUAAUAAUCAGAGCAUUGAUAGAAGUUACCAAAUCAGAAUUAAAAUGUUUUAACAGAAUGAGGAACCUUCUGUUGACUAUAGCCAGCAUUGCGAGAAGAGGGAGCCAAACUCACCAAAUGCCUGGGAUAAAAUCCAUCAAAUGACAGCUCAAGAUGCAUCCCUGAGAAGAAGCUUUCACUGUAUGGAAAAAGGAAAAAAGAAAGAAAAAAUGAAGAGAGACAAAUGUGUAGCUAACGAAAGAAGGUAACAGAUGUCUAAAUUUAUCCCCUUCCCAGUAUUUGGGGGUUGGACAUAAGGUCUUCUAGAAAUUAUUGAUAAUUUUUGAGCUAUAACUAUAAUGUUAUGGAGUUUGUCAAUAUUUUGUGCAAAGGUGGAUCAGUGCUUCUAAACAAACUGCAUUUCUAAAAUAAGAAUGAAUG